This 1249-nucleotide long non-coding RNA is filed under the name Monodelphis domestica (gray short-tailed opossum). RNAcentral describes it as "lncRNA (ENSMODG00000039809.1)". The record is from RNAcentral. Lineage: Eukaryota; Metazoa; Chordata; Mammalia; Didelphimorphia; Didelphidae.
AUGACUGCACCCCAGACCUGUGAAAGGUGGGGAACACAUUUAGUGUGGUUGGGGCCCUUACAUCCAUCCCCUUUCUACAAUUCCGAGCUUUUAUCUGAAGAGAAGGAACAGCCACGCCCCAGGCCCGAGGUGAUGGGCAGCCACUUUUGUGGCUUGCUGCGUGAAUCUAGAUGUUCACAUCUUCAGACUAUCCCAGGCCUUUCCCUACAAAGCGGACACCCAGGAAGAACAGGCAAAAGUGGAAGGUGAAAUUCAAGGAGCUAGAAGGUAUUAUGAGGGAGAGUCCCACCUUUCUUCUUACAAUACCAGACACCUCUUCUGAUGUACAGUAGCCGGCACUGGCAUCUUGCCAGGGAGAUAAGCCACACAUGUUGCCUAGAGGGUGUGAGUGCCAGCUGGACCGUGGGUUACAUUAGAACGCCCAUCUCUCCUCCUCUUUUAAUGUUCCUGGCUCUUUGCCCUGAAAGAAUAUGAUCUAGUUGGCCCUUCCUUCAAAAGCACCAAAGGAUACCAAGUCAGCAUUGAAGGGUCUUCUUCCUCUAGGGGGAAGCACCAGGCUAUCCACCCAGGAGGAAGUGACCAUUUAAAGUCUCAUUGAAACACAUCCAUCCCUGGGUCUAUGUUCCCAGGAGUCCUCAAUAUUGAUGCUCUCAGAUUCCUCGAGGAGCAAAGGCAGUGGUGGUUAGGGGUCAAGGGCAGAGAGUGGUCAAUUUCUUCCAGGAACAAGAGGAACCCGAGAUGUUUGUCACAACUGCUGUUGGCAGAGCUUAUUUGAGCUGGAUAAAGUCACUUCCAGCAGGGUUCGUGGUGAAUAGCUCAGCCAACCAUGUUCAUGAAGGUGUCUUGUAGAGAGCAAAACUUGGUCACAUUGUGUCUUCUUUAUUCUCAGCCUGGUGAUAGGGUAACUCCACGAUGACAUUCCCAAUAUAAGCUGGCUCCACAUGGGAGUCAUUUGCUGCUCUCUAUUGCUAUUUUGCAAUAUUUAGAAUGAAGUAUUUUUAAUUCUGUUUGUCCUGAGUUUUGCUGGUUCAUUUUCUCUCCUCACUACCUAUGAGGGAGACAUUACCCCCUUUGAAAUCCCACAGCCUCACCAUUCAAGCAGGGCUACUCUCUUUCACUCUUACUAGAAUUUUACUGAAAGGUCAAUUAAUUGGGGGUUGAGGGUAGGGGGUGGGUAGGGGUGUAUUUCCACUGCAUGAUCAGCUCUUCAUCUAUGUCUCUUACCUUCUCCUUCUGAUCUUCUAUCCAC